This 73-nucleotide transfer RNA is filed under the name Amycolatopsis sp. CA-230715. It matches the Rfam family "tRNA". From Rfam's summary of the family: Transfer RNA (tRNA) molecules are approximately 80 nucleotides in length. Their secondary structure includes four short double-helical elements and three loops (D, anti-codon, and T loops). Further hydrogen bonds mediate the characteristic L-shaped molecular structure. tRNAs have two regions of fundamental functional importance: the anti-codon, which is responsible for specific mRNA codon recognition, and the 3' end, to which the tRNAs corresponding amino acid is attached (by aminoacyl-tRNA synthetases). tRNAs cope with the degeneracy of the genetic code in two manners: having more than one tRNA (with a specific anti-codon) for a particular amino acid; and 'wobble' base-pairing, i.e. permitting non-standard base-pairing at the 3rd anti-codon position. Lineage: Bacteria; Bacillati; Actinomycetota; Actinomycetes; Pseudonocardiales; Pseudonocardiaceae. The record is from Rfam by way of RNAcentral. RNAcentral also lists the same sequence under 4 other names.
GGCGCGUUGGUCCAGUUGGCACGGAUCCCCGGUUCUCGCCCGGGAGACACGGGUUCGAGUCCCGUACGCGCUA